This 254-nucleotide ribosomal RNA is filed under the name uncultured bacterium. RNAcentral's name for it is "partial 16S ribosomal RNA". It matches the Rfam family "Bacterial small subunit ribosomal RNA", at positions 524 to 777 of the family's 1533-position model. The record is from RNAcentral.
UACGUAGGGUGCAAGCGUUAUCCGGAAUUAUUGGGCGUAAAGAGCUCGUAGGCGGUUUGUCGCGUCUGCUGUGAAAACUGGGGGCUCAACCCCCAGCCUGCAGUGGGUACGGGCAGACUAGAGUGCGGUAGGGGAGAUUGGAAUUCCUGGUGUAGCGGUGGAAUGCGCAGAUAUCAGGAGGAACACCGAUGGCGAAGGCAGAUCUCUGGGCCGUAACUGACGCUGAGGAGCGAAAGCAUGGGGAGCGAACAGGA